Molecule: transfer RNA, 73 nt
Organism: Pirellula sp. SH-Sr6A
Lineage: Bacteria; Pseudomonadati; Planctomycetota; Planctomycetia; Pirellulales; Pirellulaceae
Rfam family: tRNA
About the family: Transfer RNA (tRNA) molecules are approximately 80 nucleotides in length.
Source: Rfam
GCCCUUGUAGCUCAGUUGGUAGAGCAGAUGACUCUUAAUCAUCGGGUCCAAGGUUCGAGUCCUUGCGGGGGCA